AGCUACCAUGCAGUCGAACGGCAGCACAGGANAGCUUGCUCUCUGGGUGGCGAGUGGGGGACGGGUGAGGAAUACGUCGGACUCUACUCUGUCGUGGGGGAUAACGUNGGGAAACUUACNCUAAUACCGCAUACGACCUACAGGUGAAAGCNGGGGACCUUCGGGCCUUGCNCGAUUGAAUGAGCCGAUGUCGGAUUAUCUAGUUGGCGGGGUAAAGGCCCACCANGGACACUAUCCGUAUCUGGUCUGAGAGGAUGAUCACCCACACUGGAACUGAGACACGGCCCACACUCCUACGGGAGGCAGCAGUGGGGAAUAUUGGACAAUGGGCGCAAGCCNGAUCCACCCAUACCGCGUGGGUGAANAAGGCCUUCGGGUUGUAANGCCCUUUUGUUGGAAAAGAAAUCCANCUGGCUAAUACCCGGUUGGGAUGACGGUACCCAAAGAAUAAGCACCGGCUAACUAUCGUGCCAGCAGCCGCGGUAAUACAAAGGGUGCAAGCGUUACUCANAAUUACUGGGCGUAAAGCAUGCGUAGGUGGUCGGUUUAAGUCCGUUGUGAAAGCCCUGGGCUCAACCUGGGAACUGCAGUGGAUACUGGGCGACUAGAUUGUGGUAGGGGGGUAGCGUANUUCCUGGUGUAGCAGUGAAAUGCGUAGAGAUCAGGAGGAACAUCNAUGGCGAAGGCCGCUACCUGGACCAACACUGACACUGAGGCACGAAAGCGUGGGGAGCAAACAGGAUUAGAUACCCUGGUANUCGACGCCCUAGACGAUGCGAACUGGAUGUUGCGUGCAAUUUGGC
RNAcentral lists this ribosomal RNA (803 nucleotides) under Stenotrophomonas maltophilia. Its description in RNAcentral is "bacterial SSU rRNA". It matches the Rfam family "Bacterial small subunit ribosomal RNA", at positions 49 to 837 of the family's 1533-position model. The record is from RNAcentral. Lineage: Bacteria; Pseudomonadati; Pseudomonadota; Gammaproteobacteria; Lysobacterales; Lysobacteraceae.